GAUGAACGCUGGCGGCGUGCCUAAUACAUGCGAGUCGAUCGAACAGACGUGGAUCUUGCUCCUCAGACGUUAGCGGCGGACGGGUGAGUCACACGUGAAUUACCUACCUAUACGACUUGGAUAACUGCGGGAACCCGCAGCUACUACCGAGUAAUUUAUUCUACCUCAUUUUUUAAUAAUGAGAGACGCUUUUGCUGUCACUUAUAUCUUGAUCCGCGCCGCAUUAGCUAGUUGGUCAGGUAACCGCUUACAAAGGCGACGAUGAGUAGCCGACAUGAGCGGGUGAGCGGCCCGACUGGAACGGAGACACGGUCCAGACUCCUACGGGAGGCAGCAGUAGGGAAUCUUCCGCAAUGGGCGAAAGAAUGACGGAGAAACGACGCGUGAGUGAUGAAGGUAUUCGGAGCGUAAAACUCUGUUAUUAGGGAAGAAAAAAUGUGUAAGUAACGAUGCACGUCUUGACGGUACCUAAUCAGAAAGCCACGGCUAACUACGUG
This 497-nucleotide ribosomal RNA is filed under the name uncultured bacterium. RNAcentral describes it as "partial 16S ribosomal RNA". It matches the Rfam family "Bacterial small subunit ribosomal RNA", at positions 28 to 507 of the family's 1533-position model. The record is from RNAcentral.